This 459-nucleotide ribosomal RNA is filed under the name uncultured bacterium. Its description in RNAcentral is "partial 16S ribosomal RNA". It matches the Rfam family "Bacterial small subunit ribosomal RNA", at positions 338 to 795 of the family's 1533-position model. The record is from RNAcentral.
CCUACGGGAGGCUGCAGUGAGGAAUAUUGGUCAAUGGCCGGAAGGCUGAACCAGCCAUGCCGCGUGAAGGUCAGUGCCUUAUGGGCGUUACACUUCUUUUGUGCGGGAGCAAUAAUGGUCACGUGUGGCCAGAAGCGAGUACCGUACGACUAAGCAUCGGCUAACUCCGUGCCAGCAGCCGCGGUAUUACGGAGGAUGCAAGCGUUGUCCGGAUUUACUGGGUGUAAGUGGCGUGUAGCCGGGCUGACAAGUCAGAUGUGAAAUCCGGGGGCUCAACCCCCGAACUGCAUUUGAAACUGUUGAUCGUGAGUAUCGGAGAGGCAGGCGGGAUUCCUAGUGUAGCGGUGAAAUGCGUAGAUAUUAGGAGGAACACCAGUGGCGAAGGCGGCCUGCUGGACGACAACUGACGGUGAGGCGCGAAAGCGUGGGGAGCAAACAGGAUUAGAUACCCCGGUAGUC